AGUCUACUUUUUCUUUCUAAAUCACUCUAGUUGCUGGUUGCAUAGGCAAAAUGACAGUGGGGAGACCCGUUGGGAGGCUACUGCACAAAUCUUAGCCAGAGGUGAUGGCGAUGGUGGCUGGACCAGGGUGGUGACUGGGAGGUGGGCAGAUCCCAGCACACUUGGAAGAAGGAGCAAUGGAGGGGGCUGUUGAGACUGAGAAGGCCGAGUGUCACCAAGGAGGCGUCUCGGAGACGGUGGGAUGUGUGAGGCUGGGGCUCAGAGAAGAGGAGCAGAGGAGGGUGAGUCAGGAACACGGGUCAGGUGAGAUCACCCCAGCAGCUGUCAAAUCGUCACUGCUCAACGAGGCCCGCUGGAAGGACACAGGGAAGAGCUGCUGGCACCAAGUCACACAACACCGAGGACGGACAGAUCGGGAGGCAGAGGCCAGCUGCUUCCCCUUCCUGUCCUGCACGAGUUCUUCGUGUUAAUCUAUUAUUCUAAAAAUUUAUUCAUUGUCUACCAAGUGAUCAAUUUCUUAUCAUUUGUUUAUUACUAUUUUUACUUUCAUUAUCACAUUAGAUUUGCACACAUGGGAGCCUCCGGGGGACAUCUUUGUUUAUUAGUUUAUAACUUAAAAUGAAUAUUUUAUACAGAAACAUUUUAAACAGAGGCAGAAAAACUCUUAACCCAGUUUUAUCUUAGGCUAAAAUUUCAUUAUCGCUAAUUCUCGGGCCUCCAAGCACUGUGCAAACAAUCCUGGAGGAAUGGGAGUUAUCAAUUAUUAAUAACUGUUAAAUUAGCAUGGAGCUUGGUUCUCCCCUAAGUAUGUUCCAGAACAGCAGGGCAGGAACAGAGCCUCUGCUCCCUCUUGGGUCUCCUGCUCAGACAAAGCCAAACCCUGCCCAGGCACAUGGGCGUCCCCACAUGGGCCAGCACUGACCCCACAGCCACUGCCCCCACCCUGCAGGGCACCUGGGAGGGGGCACCCCAGGCCUAGGACUUCCUCUUGAAUGGAAGGAUGAACCCAUCUCCCAAGGAAUUCCUGCAGGGACACGUGACCCCGAUAUUCUCCACAAGCUGGGGCAGGAGCCUGCCUUUGGAGUUUGCCCCCCUCACCAUUCGUCAUGGGCUGAAUUACGUCCCCCUAAAAUUUGCAUGUUGAAGCCUUAAUCCCCAAUACCUCAGAAUGUGAUUAUAUUUGGAAAUAGGGCCUUUAAAAGGUGAUUAAAUUAAGAUGGGCCAGGCCCUAAUCCCCUGUGACUGGUGUCCCUGUAAGAAGAAAUUUGGACACAGACUCACACAGAGGGAAGACCAUGGAAGACACAGGUGAAGAUGACCAUCUACAAGCCAAGAAGAAAGGCCUCAGGAUAAACCAACCCUGCUGACUCUUUGAUCUUGAGCUUCCAGCCUCCAGAACUGUCAGAGAAUAAACGUCUGCUGUUUAAGCCACGCGAUCUGCUGUGCUUUGUUACGGCCACUCGACCUGUGUAACGCACCAUGCCCACCCAUCCCUUCCACCACGCCUGGUGCCCUGGUGUGCCACUCUCCUCCUUUAUCCCAGCAUGUCUGCGAGGAAGAAAACGUCCCUGCUCUAGCAUUUAGAGGCCACCAACAUUGAAUUAACCACCCCAGAGGAGAAGCAACAGGGAAAGGACUCUGGCCUUCCCCAUUCAGAGCGGCCUUGGAGAUUAGGAGACGGAUGGAUCUCAUCGGAGCACGUACUGACCUUCUGCCCACGCUAUGCAUAAGCCACUCAGACUCCCCUGGCUUUUGAGUGCAGAUAGGGUGGUGGAUGAGGCCCAAGAUUCUCAGAGUUCACCUGGCCUCCUCAGGGUCUUCAAGAUCAUCUUCUCUUCUUGGUUAUCAAAACUGUGUGUGUGUGUGGCAGGGGGGAAGCCAGGGAAAGAUUGGAAAUUCAGCCACCUGCCACCUUGCAGUAGCUCACAGGUGUUAAGAGGCAUUUUGACAAACCUCAAACUGCAAAUAGCUUUAAGCUACAAAAUGAAAUUCUAAGUAUGUAUUCUCGAGUAGGAAGGUUUAGAAGAGCCCAGUGAAGCUGCCUUAGUGCCCCUCAAGCCAUCCCCAAAGCCAACAACCUGAUUAAAGCUAGGGACUGUCAUCUUUAACUUAUCCGGCAUCUCAAAGACUGCACCAUUCACAGCAUGUCUUCCUGUUGGACAUGGUGACCAUGAGGACCCUUUGCUGGGUUCUUAGUGGACAGCAUAGACAUGGGCUCUGCAGUCAGAUUUAUUUCCAUUUGUAUCUCAGAUCUGUGACUUAAUAUGUGUGACCCCAGGUGAGUUACUUGGACUUUCUGUGCCUCAGUUUCCUCAUAUAUAAAAUGGGAUAAUAAUUGUG
Non-coding RNA from Microcebus murinus (gray mouse lemur), 2340 nucleotides. NCBI's taxonomy places the organism in Eukaryota, Metazoa, Chordata, Mammalia, Primates, Cheirogaleidae. The record is from RefSeq and is a predicted model, not a curated record.